AUUCCCUACGGGACGCAGCAGUGAGGAAUAUUGGUCAAUGGUCGGGAGACUGAACCAGCCAAGCCGCGUGAGGGAUGAAGGUACAGAGUAUCGUAAACCUCUUUUGUCAGGGAACAAAGGCGGGGACUAGUCCCCGGAUGAGGGUACCUGAAGAAAAAGCAUCGGCUAACUCCGUGCCAGCAGCCGCGGUAAUACGGAGGAUGCGAGCGUUAUCCGGAUUUAUUGGGUUUAAAGGGUGCGCAGGCGGCCUGUUAAGUCAGCGGUAAAAGCCCGGGGCUCAACCCCGGCGAGCCGUUGAA
Molecule: ribosomal RNA, 299 nt
Filed under: uncultured bacterium
Lineage: Bacteria
Description: partial 16S ribosomal RNA
Rfam family: Bacterial small subunit ribosomal RNA
Source: RNAcentral